GCGACCGCACACAGUUUAUUGAUACACCGCCAGCACAGCACAGGGUUGCUCGGGGACGGGGGGGGUUGUUCUCUUCUACCGUUACAGCGUGCAUCGGGUACACAGAGACCGGGGAGCGGGCCGGCACGCGAGCGCCAUGCUGCCGACGGCUCAUGCUGGGGGGGCGGGAGAGCGGGGGUGUGUGUGGGGGGGUCCGCAGGGUGCCCCGC
This is a long non-coding RNA of Oxyura jamaicensis (ruddy duck), 209 nucleotides long. RefSeq lists it as uncharacterized. NCBI's taxonomy places the organism in Eukaryota, Metazoa, Chordata, Aves, Anseriformes, Anatidae. The record is from RefSeq and is a predicted model, not a curated record. The transcript is spliced from 3 exons.